CAUCUCGUCUCCGUCAUUCUCUCGCCUUAGGGUUCCUCACGCCUCGCUUUCCCUCCGCCACCGAUUCUCCCCGUGAGUCCAUCCUUCCUCUCAAGUUCCCCAUGCAAGUAUGAAGAUGGCAGCGGCACGGGCGGUCCUCCAAGCGAUAAGUGCGCCUGGGUACGAGGGGUUCGCUGUGGAGGCGGUGCAGGGUUCGCUUCUUGAUCGAGCAGAUUCCCGCUGGAGUGAGGCUCCCAACGAUGGGAGCGCUGCCGCCCCCGAUCUGAAGUGUCGACCUCCCCGAGAUCCCGCUGGUGGUUGCUUGGCGGACCCCUUCUCGAUCUGCUGUUGCCGCCCGUCCCACACGUUGACCGUCGUCCGUGCGCUGCCAUCCAGCAGAUCCCCUCGCGCCGCCCCAUCGUCCGUCUGGUUCUGUAUCUGCGGAGAUCUAAAAAAGCGCAGUCUGAUACUUGAGAGGUAAACAAAGCGCUCUACUCUCAAUUAGAUAUAUGUAAAUAUUGUCCAGCUAAGCUUUUGACUCAGAAGGACUACUAUUCUGGAAAGCACGUGAUGGUUCCUAUCGGUAGAUUGAUUCAUUGUCUGCAAUCUGGAAAGCACGUGAUUUGUUUUAGCACCGAAUAUUACAGGUUUGAUUCGAACAUGAUAUAUCACUUGUCCACAGUAGAUAUAUCACAUGAUAUAUUACAGGCAUAUUCAGUGAUUAGUGUUAUUGCAACCACUUUUGGCAUUUGAAGGAUUAGGUUUUGAUGCUUGAGUUCUACAGUCUACAGGCCACUGCUUACUCGCUUGUCAUGCCUGUGCAAUGACAUAGGUUUUGGAAUAAUUAAUCUUGUAAUAUCAAAGAGUGCUUUGCUAUUUAAUUUUAAUGUAAGUUAUUCAGUAGACUUGGCAUGCCUAGCUCAAUCUUAUUUGCACAUCUUGCAGACAAAAUCUUAUUUACAAAUCAAUAUGCAAGUAUGUAAGAAGCAAAACAUAUGUUGUUCCCGUAGUUGCGUGAGGUCAUCUUGUGGUAUCGUCGAAUGAUCAAAUCGAGUCUAUCCCUAAUUAUUUUAAAGGAUAAACUGAAGCCUUUGUAAAUUUUGGACCGUUGCAAAAUUUUGGACUACAUGAGUAGUCAGAUAUUAUCUUUUAGUAGGUUACUUCAUUGAGCUUAUUUUGUCAGAGAUCAUCUUUUAAGGUCUCAAUGGACUCCCUCCUUAGCCGAGAUUUUGAUAGAAGGACGGCUAGGAGUUGGGGAGAAGGGCGUUCAAGGGAGGAGGAUAUGCGUGUCGCUGACUCCGAUCAAUGGUAAGUUUUCUUCCUUUUCAUUUGAUUUAGUGAUGUGUGCAAUUUGUGCUUGUUAAGUUUUCUACCUUUUCAUUUUAAUUGCUGAGCUGGGGGCAUGUGUUGUUAGAUCAACACAAAUUCGCAGCACCAAGAUAAGAUGGUUCCAUUUGUCUGAGUUUUCAUUGAUCCCAACCAUGAACAAAUUCAACCAUGCUUCCAGUAAAGGCUACAAUGUGUAUCACAAUCUUAGUGGCCUUCCAUACAGGGUGAUCAGUUUCUUAUUAGACGUGUUUACCUGUAUUUAUAUCGCUUUCCUGCAUGAUAGGUGAUGAUUGUGUCUGUAGCCUUUGAGGGGCCUGAAUCUAAAUAUUCAGAGAUUGUCAUUUAUAAUAUAUCUUUGACCAGACAUCCCAUUGACGGUAUUCAGACAUCACAAGGUUUAUUAUACAUCACCUUGCUGUGCCAAUGCUAUUAUUAGCUUGCAUGUCUAUCAGGUUCCUUUCAGUUUAAUCUUUUUGUUACCAUGAAAUACGUGGCAGCACAAUUUACCAGUAUCUUGAACUAUCAUAUGUACUGAAGUGCACUUCUUACUUGUAUUGUGCAAACAAUGAAACUUUAGAGUUUGUGGGUAGCACCCAAGAGACCCAAAAGUAGAGUGUAACUCUUAAGGCCACAUGACUGGUUUGAUCCUGACCUAAAAGUAUUGUCCAAUCCCAAUAUGUUCUCUUAUGUGUGACUUGUAGAAAUGAAUGUUUAGUUGUACAGACCAUCUUUCUUUUUUUUCUCAAUAAAUGAUAAACCUAAUGAAUAUGUUUGAGGCUUUAUUUAAAAAGCAUUCAUCCAAAACAAAUUUGUGCCCUGUGUUACAACAUUGCAGAGCUCUAUCUUUCAUGUUUAUUUUUCAAAGAUAUAUAUUUUUUCAGCUUAAUCCAUAUACAUUAAAAUUAUGUAUUUUGUGCGACAUGGAUGAAGUAUAAUUCACUUUUUGACACAAAAUUUGAGUUUGAAUAUGGUGCAAAAUUUCCUGGAGACCUCUAUCUAGCAAAAUCUGGUUAAGUCUUGGAUACAUGUAGAGAGAAGGAAGAUAUGAGUAAUCAGCUGUAGAUAGCAGUAACAUCUAUUUUUAAAGAUUGCCCACAUGGAGCUUACUUUCCGGUCCAGGGUUCAUCAAGUAGCGCUUCUGAGCUAUCCACUGUGGAUGCAUAUUCAAGCUAAAAUAUCAUAUGUUUACAACAGAAAUUUUGUACCAUGGUAAAGUUUCUAUCAGUUUUAUUGGUCUGAAGAAUAUAUGUAAAACAGAAAGUUUUCUGUACUUACUGUUCCUUUCCAAGUUUUUUCCAGAAAGUUUCUGUCAGUUUUGUUAGUCUGAAUAAUACGUGUAAACGGAAAGUUUGCUGCUACUUGUUGUUCAUGCUGGGAAGGUUGACCUCUAACUAAACCUUUGUAUACCCUUACCAAGUGAAGUUAUCCCUUACCAAGUGAAGUUGUCGUUUCAUCAUAAUUUUCCUAUGUGAGUUUGCUGAUAGAUAUAAUAUGGGAAAACUGGCAUGAAUUUUUGCACGUCACUCCUUUGAAAGUUAAACUUGGUUGUUUGCUUCUAACAUGCACCUUGAUUGUUGUGAUUACCGUGGUUAUCUGCCGGAAAAGCAUGUCCGGUGCUAACAUGAAUAUUUGAAGCUUGCGAGUGGAUGCUCUUAAUUAUAUAACUUGAUUGUUGUGAUUACUUUGGUUAUCUGCUCGAAUAGCACGUUCCUACUAUAAGUUCGAACAUGAAUAUUUGAAGCUUGUGAGUGGAUGCUCUUGACUAUAUAAACCCAUGUACUUUAUCUUUGUGGCAAAAAAUGUACUAUAUUGAUUGGGCCUCUUAGUCAUUCAGGAGAUGAUGUCCUUAUUACUGAGUGCAGAUAACCACAUUGAGAAUCAUACAUACGCCCCUUUGUUUGCAAAUAUUCUUUUGGACCGGCUUAAUGCUCUCGUUAUUGUUAUCCUUUAGAAGAAACUGUUUACCAGCUUAAUGCUCUCGUUAUUCUUAUCCACAGGAGGAAUCGGUUUACCUGUCGAUUCUUGGAUUGGUCGCCCUGAUUUUGUUGUUAUCAAAGUAAAAGCUGUCAAUACCUAUAUGUUAUUUCUCUUGAUGUUGUAACACCGAAGUAUGAUCUUUGGCAGUGUUGGAUCUCCUAAGUGAGUUGGAAGCUACAUAAAGAUCUAAUAGAUGAAAUGGUUAACUGAGAAAGUAAGCUGAAAGAAAGUAGUCUGCCCGCUAAAACAAGCUCAUCAUGGCUUGUUUCUUCCAAGAGCUCUUUCCUCUGAUCCAAAGGAUCAAAAAAGGUAUUUACCUGAUUAUUUAGUGGAAAGAUUAGUCGGGCAAUGACAUGAGAGAUGGGUCACGCUGAAGAGAAUGAGGUGAAGGAAAAUGUGAAGCGCUAAUUAUUCUGCUAAUGCAUAGAUAAUUGUCUUGGUUGACAUGGAACUUUUGUCAAUAUUUUUUCUGCUUUAGAUCGAUAUGGGGGUUAUCAUGGUACAUGUAACUAAGCAAGCAAUUAAUAUAUUCCAGUUUGUUGAGGUGCAACACUAGCUACUGAUGAUUAAAAAUUAAUGUGUUGGUGUGACAAAAUAAGAAAAUUAAGGUAGAAUUUUAUUGUAUUGAAAUAUUGUAUUGCUAUCUUUUUGAAACAUGUGAGUUUUAUGUACUCUCUCUGACUGUAAAAAAGCGGCUUAACUUUGUCAUAUGGGUAUAUAUUUAGACAUAUUUUAGUUAUAGAUACAUAUGUAUCUAGAAAAGGUUGAGCAAUUUUUUAAAAUAGGGAGUAUAUAAUGUCUACAUGUAUGAUAAGAAAAUUACUUGG
Lolium perenne is the source of this 4112-nucleotide long non-coding RNA. RefSeq lists it as uncharacterized. NCBI's taxonomy places the organism in Eukaryota, Viridiplantae, Streptophyta, Magnoliopsida, Poales, Poaceae. The record is from RefSeq and is a predicted model, not a curated record.